This 253-nucleotide ribosomal RNA is filed under the name uncultured bacterium. Its description in RNAcentral is "partial 16S ribosomal RNA". It matches the Rfam family "Bacterial small subunit ribosomal RNA", at positions 524 to 776 of the family's 1533-position model. The record is from RNAcentral.
UACGAAGGAUCCAAGCGUCAAUCGGAAUUACUGGGCGUAAAGCGUGCGCAGACGGUUGCGUAAGUCAGAUGUGAAAGCCCCGGGCUCAACCUGGGAAUUGCAUUUGAGACUGCGUAGCUAGGGUGCGGAAGAGGGAAGCGGAAUUUCCGGUGUAGCGGUGAAAUGCGUAGAUAUCGGAAGGAACACCAGCGGCGAAAGCGGCUUCCUGGUCCAGCACCGACGUUCAGGCACGAAAGCGUGGGGAGCAAACAGG